CAGUUCUCCAGAGAAGGGUCCCCCGGGCAGCUGGGAGCAGCCCAGCCUGGGAGAGCAGAUCUGGGUGAGGCUCCAACAGCAUCUUCUAGAACAACCUUCUGAGACAGCACGCCCUAAACCAGGCCCAGGAGGUACAGAGGUUAGACCUCGGCCCUGUGCCCGUGAAGCUCCUGGUCCAGCAGGAGGGACAGGGUAUCGACCCCCAGGGACAUCCCAGCGGAGCAGCCUCACGACGGGAGGAGGCACUUGGGGCAGCCAGAGCCUCUGUCUGAGCCCGGGGCAGUCUGGGAAGGCUUCCCAGAGGAGCACUGGCAUUCUCAGCCCAGGACUGAAACUUGGGACCAUGUGGCAAACCCCACCCCUGAAGGGACCCGCCGGAGUGAGAGGCCCCGGAACAGAGGAUGAGUAGCAGAUUCAGAAAGAGCCAAAUACGAGUGCAAGACGCCUUGGAGCUGCUGCCGUUUGAACCAUUGGAACCGAGCCUGUGAACAGCUUUCUCCUACAGAGACUGUUCCAGAUCCGGUCGGCGCUUCCAGAACGGUCCACCGAGACGCCUUCCGAGGACUGGGUCUGAGGCUCUUCUUCAAGUUACUGAAUGCCAGCAUCAUCCUGGUCAU
This 617-nucleotide long non-coding RNA is filed under the name Equus asinus (donkey). RNAcentral's name for it is "lncRNA (ENSEASG00005024343.1)". The record is from RNAcentral. Lineage: Eukaryota; Metazoa; Chordata; Mammalia; Perissodactyla; Equidae.